AUGAACCACUUCGGUGGGGAUUAGUGGCGAACGGGUGAGUAACACGUGGGCAAUCUGCCCUGCACUCUGGGACAAGCCCUGGAAACGGGGUCUAAUACCGGAUACUGAUCCUCGCAGGCAUCUGCGAGGUUCGAAAGCUCCGGCGGUGCAGGAUGAGCCCGCGGCCUAUCAGCUAGUUGGUGAGGUAACGGCUCACCAAGGCGACGACGGGUAGCCGGCCUGAGAGGGCGACCGGCCACACUGGGACUGAGACACGGCCCAGACUCCUACGGGAGGCAGCAGUGGGGAAUAUUGCACAAUGGGCGAAAGCCUGAUGCAGCGACGCCGCGUGAGGGAUGACGGCCUUCGGGUUGUAAACCUCUUUCAGCAGGGAAGAAGCGAAAGUGACGGUACCUGCAGAAGAAGCGCCGGCUAACUACGUGCCAGCAGCCGCGGUAAUACGUAGGGCGCAAGCGUUGUCCGGAAUUAUUGGGCGUAAAGAGCUCGUAGGCGGCUUGUCACGUCGGUUGUGAAAGCCCGGGGCUUAACCCCGGGUCUGCAGUCGAUACGGGCAGGCUAGAGUUCGGUAGGGGAGAUCGGAAUUCCUGGUGUAGCGGUGAAAUGCGCAGAUAUCAGGAGGAACACCGGUGGCGAAGGCGGAUCUCUGGGCCGAUACUGACGCUGAGGAGCGAAAGCGUGGGGAGCGAACAGGAUUAGAUACCCUGGUAGUCCACGCCGUAAACGGUGGGCACUAGGUGUGGGCACAUUCCACGUUGUCCGUGCCG
This 764-nucleotide ribosomal RNA is filed under the name bacterium. RNAcentral's name for it is "bacterial SSU rRNA". It matches the Rfam family "Bacterial small subunit ribosomal RNA", at positions 69 to 848 of the family's 1533-position model. The record is from RNAcentral.